GUGCCAGCAGCCGCGGUAAUACGGAGGGGGCUAGCGUUGUUCGGAAUUACUGGGCGUAAAGCGCACGUAGGCGGAUCGGAAAGUUGGGGGUGAAAUCCNCGGGGCUCAACCCCGGAACGGCCUUCAAAACUACUGGUCUUGAGUUCGAGAGAGGUGAGUGGAAUUCCGAGUGUAGAGGUGAAAUUCGUAGAUAUUCGGAGGAACACCAGUGGCGAAGGCGGCUCACUGGCUCGAUACUGACGCUGAGGUGCGAAAGCGUGGGGAGCAAACAGGAUUAGAUA
This 281-nucleotide ribosomal RNA is filed under the name uncultured Rhodobacterales bacterium. RNAcentral describes it as "partial 16S ribosomal RNA". It matches the Rfam family "Bacterial small subunit ribosomal RNA", at positions 505 to 784 of the family's 1533-position model. Lineage: Bacteria; Pseudomonadati; Pseudomonadota; Alphaproteobacteria; Rhodobacterales. The record is from RNAcentral.